AGUGAACGCUGGCGGUAGGCCUAACACAUGCGAGUCGAACGGCAGCACAGUAAGAGCUUGCUCUUACGGGUGGCGAGUGGCGGACGGGUGAGGAAUACAUCGGAAUCUACUUUUUCGUGGGGGAUAACGUAGGGAAACUUACGCUAAUACCGCAUACGACCUACGGGUGAAAGCAGGGGAUCUUCGGACCUUGCGCGAUUGAAUGAGCCGAUGUCGGAUUAGCUAGUUGGCGGGGUAAAGGCCCACCAAGGCGACGAUCCGUAGCUGGUCUGAGAGGAUGAUCAGCCACACUGGAACUGAGCCACGGUCCAGACUCCUACGGGAGGCAGCAGUGGGGAAUAUUGGACAAUGGGCGCAAGCCUGAUCCAGCCAUACCGCGUGGGUGAAGAAGGCCUUCGGGUUGUAAAGCCCUUUUGUUGGGAAAGAAAAGCAGCAGGUUAAUACCCCGCUGUUCUGACGGUACCCAAAGAAUAAGCACCGGCUAACUUCGUG
This 492-nucleotide ribosomal RNA is filed under the name uncultured bacterium. Its description in RNAcentral is "partial 16S ribosomal RNA". It matches the Rfam family "Bacterial small subunit ribosomal RNA", at positions 29 to 507 of the family's 1533-position model. The record is from RNAcentral.